Molecule: ribosomal RNA, 222 nt
Filed under: uncultured bacterium
Lineage: Bacteria
Description: partial 16S ribosomal RNA
Rfam family: Bacterial small subunit ribosomal RNA
Source: RNAcentral
AACGAACGCUGGCGGCGUGGAUUAGGCAUGCAAGUCGAACGAGAAAGGGUUCGCAAGAACCCGAGUAAAGUGGCGAAAGGGUGAGUAGUACCUAGGUAACCUGCCCUGAAGACGGGAUAACGUCUCUAACGGGACGCUAAUAACCCGAGUGUGUCGGCGCGGCCGCAUGGUCGUGCCGGUAAAAGGUAAGCCUCUGUUUACAAGCUUCCGCUUCUGGAGGGC